CACGUAGGCGGCCUGGUAAGUCAGAUGUGAAAGCCCGGGGCUUAACCCCGGUAGUGCAUUUGAUACUGUCAGGCUUGAGUAUGGGAGAGGGAAGUGGAAUUCCUGGUGUAGAGGUGAAAUUCGUAGAUAUCAGGAGGAACACCGGUGGCGAAGGCGACUUCCUGGACCAAUACUGACGCUGAGGUGCGAAGGCGUGGGUAGCAAACAGGAUUAGAUACCCUGGUAGUCC
This 229-nucleotide ribosomal RNA is filed under the name uncultured bacterium. Its description in RNAcentral is "partial 16S ribosomal RNA". It matches the Rfam family "Bacterial small subunit ribosomal RNA", at positions 568 to 796 of the family's 1533-position model. The record is from RNAcentral.